Molecule: ribosomal RNA, 485 nt
Filed under: Oxyuranus microlepidotus
Lineage: Eukaryota; Metazoa; Chordata; Lepidosauria; Squamata; Elapidae
Description: partial 16S ribosomal RNA
Rfam family: Bacterial large subunit ribosomal RNA
Source: RNAcentral
UAUUAAAGGCAACGCCUGCCCAGUGAAUAGUUUAACGGCCGCGGUACCCUAACCGUGCAAAGGUAGCGUAAUCACUUGUCUAUUAAUUGUAGACCCGUAUGAAAGGCAUAAUGAGGGUUUAACUGUCUCUUUUAGUAAAUCAAUUAAACUGAUCCCCUAGUCCAAAAGCUAGGAUAUUAACAUUAGACCAGAAGACCCUGUGAAGCUUUAACUAAACUAUUAAACCUUAUAAUAGCUCCUUUAGGUUGGGGCGACCUUGGAAAAAAAAAGAACUUCCAAUAUAUAGUAUAUAAUAAUAUACUUCUACAGGCCAACAAGCCCGCCAACGACCCAGCAUAGCUGACAAUAGAACCAAGUUACUCCAGGGAUAACAGCGCUAUCUUCUUCAAGAGCCCAUAUCAAAAAGAAGGUUUACGACCUCGAUGUUGGAUCAGGACAUCCUAAUGGUGCAGCCGCUAUUAAGGGUUCGUUUGUUCAACGAUAAC